AUGGCAUCCAAACGCCAGACUCUGUCAUUUCUGGUACAGCGGGUGUCCCAAGCCCUGGGGCCAUGGACUGAUACCAGUCCCUAUGACCUGUGGGGAACCAGGCUGCACAGCAGGAGACAAGUUGACCUUUUUUUCCGGCUGGAAUCAUGAAGUGUAGAAGAGAAGACGAAAUAGAUCCCUGCUGUGCCAGAAGCCCUUAAGAAACAGUGAAGGAAUUUCACAGAACUGAAGAUGAAGCACCUGAAAAAGAAGUUUGCCCAAAAGAUGCUUUGAAGGCAAGGAGGAAGCCUAUCUAUGAAAAGGCGAAGGACUGUCACAAGUAAUAUAGGCAGAUGUGCAGAACUGAAAUUUGAAUGGCGAGGAUGGCAAGGAAAGCUGGUAACUUCUAUGUACCUGCAGAGCCCAAAUUGGCAUUUGUCAUCAGGAUCAGAGGUAUCAAUGGUGUGAGCCCAAAGGUCUGAAAGGUGUUGCAGCUUCUUCGCCUUCAUCAAAUCUUCAAUGGAACCUUUGUGAAGCUCAACAAGUUAACAUGCUGAAAAUUGUAGAGCCAUAUAUUGCAUGGGGGUACCCAAAUCUGAAGUCAGUAAAUGAACUAAUCUAUAAGCAUGAUUAUGGCAAAAUCCAUAAGAAGCAAAUUGCUUUAAGAGAUAAUGCUUUGAUUGCUUGAUCUCUUGGUAAAUAUGGCAUCAUCUGCAUGGAGGAUCUGAUUCAUGAGAUCUAUACUGUUGAAAAAUGCUUCAAAGAAGCAAAUAACUUCCUGUGGCCCUUCAAAUUAUCUUCUCCAAGAGGCGGAAUAAAGAAAAAGACCACCCAUUUCAUAGAAGGCAGAGAUGCUGGCAACAGGGAGGACCAGAUCAACAGGCUUAUUAGAAGAAUGAACUAAGAUGUCUACCACGAUUGUUUUCUAAGCUGGUUGGUUAAUAAACAGUACCUGCUCUCAAAUU
Molecule: non-coding RNA, 944 nt
Organism: Callithrix jacchus (white-tufted-ear marmoset)
Lineage: Eukaryota; Metazoa; Chordata; Mammalia; Primates; Cebidae
Source: RefSeq, a predicted model, not a curated record